This 300-nucleotide ribosomal RNA is filed under the name uncultured cyanobacterium. RNAcentral's name for it is "bacterial SSU rRNA". It matches the Rfam family "Bacterial small subunit ribosomal RNA", at positions 114 to 424 of the family's 1533-position model. Lineage: Bacteria; Bacillati; Cyanobacteriota. The record is from RNAcentral.
UACGUAAGAAUCUGCCCUUUGGAGGAGGAAACGGUUGGAAACGACCGCUAAUCCUGCAUAUGCCAUUGGUGAAAGGUCUCUAACACGAGAUUGCCAAAGGAUGAGCUUACGCCUGAUUAGCUAGUUGGUGGGGUAAAGCCUACCAAGGCAACGAUCAGUAGCUGGUCUGAGAGGAUGAUCAGCCACACUGGGACUGAGACACGGCCCAGACUCCUACGGGAGGCAGCAGUAGGGAAUUUUCCGCAAUGGGCGAAAGCCUGACGGAGCAAUGCCGCGUGGAGGGUGAAGGCCUAUUGGGUU